RNAcentral lists this signal recognition particle RNA (97 nucleotides) under Candidatus Nanopelagicaceae bacterium. Its description in RNAcentral is "signal recognition particle sRNA small type". It matches the Rfam family "Bacterial small signal recognition particle RNA". Rfam says of the family: The signal recognition particle (SRP) is a universally conserved ribonucleoprotein involved in the co-translational targeting of proteins to membranes. Archaeal SRP consists of a 7S RNA and homologues of the eukaryotic SRP19 and SRP54 proteins. Lineage: Bacteria; Bacillati; Actinomycetota; Actinomycetes; Candidatus Nanopelagicales; Candidatus Nanopelagicaceae. The record is from RNAcentral.
CCAGAUCCUCCGCGCGACGACAUCGCGCUGAACUCCCCCAGGGCAGGAAUGCAGCAAGGGUAGGUGUGCUCUGGCGGGUGUGCGGAGGGUCCCUUUU